CACAACAAUGUAAUGUGCAAUGCAAUUAAUGGCAGCCUAUCAACUACUUCCAACAAAAUGACAGAUGUCUCGACAAUACUCAUCCCUGAUACAGUGGUCCAGGACGCGUGACUGCUCUGUAUUAUAGGGAGGAGGUCAGGAUGCAUGAAUAAAGGACCAGCCCAUCUCCUGCUUCAAAUGUCCAUGGCAGUGUCGUAUUUGCCGAGGUGAUUGAACCAGGACCUGUCAAUGACAAAGAGCCCUCCCGCGAUGAUGGGAGUCCUGUCAGAGAAAGAGAAACAACAACAAGAGAGAGAGAGAGGAGUAAUAGAAAAGGUUGGUUUGCUGCCCCACACACAUACUAACAGAGGCUGAUUCAUGAUCUGGACGAUGUGACGGGUGAAUAGCUGAGGGCGAGCAUGUGUCAUCAAAUACCCUCUGUUCAUCAACAAUUAUCCUGCCUGCAAAUAGCACUCUGUGUGUAUGUGUGUGAGAGAGUCUGUAUGUGGGUAGAAGCACAUAAAACCUUUUUCAAGUUCAAUUUGUCCUUGUGUGUUUAAAGGAAGUCUGUGUGUAUGUAAAACUUUGUGCUUUGUUUGUGAAAUUAUCAUAAAAUAACUUGGCAUAUAA
This is a long non-coding RNA of Micropterus salmoides (largemouth bass), 609 nucleotides long. RefSeq lists it as uncharacterized. Lineage: Eukaryota; Metazoa; Chordata; Actinopteri; Centrarchiformes; Centrarchidae. The record is from RefSeq and is a predicted model, not a curated record. The transcript has 5 exons.